AAGCAACAAUUAGUUGGCUCCAUAUCAAGCUACUCUUGAAAGUCUCCAUGUCAAGAGCAUACUCUUGAAAGGCUCCAUAUCAAGCUACUCUUGAAAGUCUCCAUAUCAAAAGCCUGCUCUUAAAAGGCUCCAUAUCAAGCUACUCUUGAAAGUCUAGCCUGCUCUUAAAAGGCUUCAUAUCAAGCUACUCUUAAAAGGAUCUCGGGGGAUUAAUCGCUAAUCUUCCCUUUUCAACGCAUCGGCAGCCGGUCUUCUCACUUCGUCUCUUCACUUCUGUAGACAAAUCUAAGGAGUAAGUACUGCUUAAUUUACCAGCUCAUUUUUAUCGCAGUCUAUACAUUUCCUGCUUUGAUCUUGCAGAAUUUCUUCUUUAAUUACAUGAGUAAAUUUCGUUUCAUAAGGUUUCCUUUUGAUAUUUUAUAUAUUCGUUGUUUGAUAGAACAUUUCGGUGUGGUUGACUUUUGUUCUGAAUUGGAAAAAAAUGGAGUUUUUGUUUUGUUCAAUGAUCUAAAUCUGAUCUGAGUUAAAAGUUUCCCAGGUCUGUUCUAAAUGAGUGAAAACCAGGACAUCCCUCGCUCAAUUGGGAUUGUUUGGGACGCUGAAAGCGUGUAUGUAGAUGAAGCUUUCCGAAUUCAUCCAACCCAUUAAAUUAUCUAAUUUUUUAUUCAAUCCAUCUUUUCUAUUCGAU
Molecule: long non-coding RNA, 688 nt
Filed under: Gossypium barbadense (sea-island cotton)
Lineage: Eukaryota; Viridiplantae; Streptophyta; Magnoliopsida; Malvales; Malvaceae
Description: long non-coding RNA (GBAR_LNC011042)
Source: RNAcentral